CCUACGGGUGGCAGCAGUAGGGAAUCUUCCACAAUGGGCGAAAGCCUGAUGGAGCAAUGCCGCGUGGGUGAAGAAGGUCUUCGGAUCGUAAAACCCUGUUGGUAGAGAAGAAAGUGCGUGAGAGUAACUGUUCACGUUUCGACGGUAUCUAACCAGAAAGCCACGGCUAACUACGUGCCAGCAGCCGCGGUAAUACGUAGGUGGCAAGCGUUAUCCGGAGUUAUUGGGCGUAAAGGGAACGCAGGCGGUCUUUUAAGUCUGAUGUGAAAGCCUUGGGCUCAACCGGGGUACUGCAUUGGAUACUGGCAGACUUGAGUGUCGAAGAGGGGAGUGGAACUCCAGGUGUAGCGGUGAAAUGCGUAGAUAUCUGGAAGAACACCAGUGGCGAAGGCGGCUCCCUGGUCUGUGACUGACGCUGAGGUUCGAAAGCGUGGGUAGCAAACAGGAUUAGAUACCCGGGUAGUC
RNAcentral lists this ribosomal RNA (465 nucleotides) under uncultured bacterium. RNAcentral describes it as "partial 16S ribosomal RNA". It matches the Rfam family "Bacterial small subunit ribosomal RNA", at positions 338 to 795 of the family's 1533-position model. The record is from RNAcentral.